This 472-nucleotide ribosomal RNA is filed under the name uncultured bacterium. RNAcentral describes it as "partial 16S ribosomal RNA". It matches the Rfam family "Bacterial small subunit ribosomal RNA", at positions 28 to 507 of the family's 1533-position model. The record is from RNAcentral.
GACGAACGCUGGCGGCGUGCUUAACACAUGCAAGUCGAACGCUGAAGCUUGGUGCUUGCACUGGGUGGAUGAGUGGCGCACGGGUGAGUAAUACGUGAGUAACCUGCCCUUGACUCUGGGAUAAGCCUGGGAAACUGGGUCUAAUACUGGAUACGACAUGCCACUGCAUGGUGGUGUGUGGAAAGGGUUUUACUGGUUUUGGAUGGGCUCACGGCCUAUCAGCUUGUUGGUGGGGUAAUGGCCUACCAAGGCGACGAUGGGUAGCCGGCCUGAGAGGGUGACCGGCCACACUGGGACUGAGACACGGCCCAGACUCCUACGGGAGGCAGCAGUGGGGAAUAUUGCACAAUGGGCGGAAGCCUGAUGCAGCGACGCCGCGUGAGGGAUGACGGCCUUCGGGUUGUAAACCUCUUUCAGCACGGAAGAAGCGAGAGUGACGGUACGUGCAGAAGAAGCGCCGGCUAACUACGUG